Molecule: long non-coding RNA, 1445 nt
Organism: Globicephala melas (long-finned pilot whale)
Lineage: Eukaryota; Metazoa; Chordata; Mammalia; Artiodactyla; Delphinidae
Source: RefSeq, a predicted model, not a curated record
CAGCACGGCUCUGAAAGGGGGAUGGGAGAGCGAGCAGAAAGCAGAAAAACCAGCUUUGAACUAUGCAUGCAAGGCCUCUCUCAAGACUCAAAUUCUUGCGGAAGGCGCUGGAAUACACCUGUAGAGAUGACAAGCUUCCUGCUCCAAUCUCAUAUGUGAUGAAAAUUGACUGCAGAAGACCCACUGCUAUGAAUUGAAGGCUCCAGAUUCUGUGUGCUCAUCUCCAGCCUGCUCCGUGACAACUAGGCUGUCCCACGACGCGCAGUUGACAUGCAAGGUGAAGAGCAUUGCCAGCACUCAAGCAGAGGCGGUGGAUGAGUGUGAGGGCACACGCAGCAGAGCCGGGGGUCCCCUGUCAUCCGUGCAGGCUAACGGGUCGAGCUUGCCCAGGAGCCCUGUGGAGCUUGGCUGUGCUCGGCCCCAGCAGUGACGGCUGACAGCCACAGAGUGCCAUGCACAUACUGACCGUGACAAACAGCUGGGUACAGACAUGAGCAAAAACAACACCGCUGCUCCUACCCAGACAGGAGAAUGGACUGUGCGUCUUACCGAACGAAGCUUUUUGCACUAGGACUGGGUGAUCCGGCCAAUACACGGAGCAGACCGAGGCCAGGGGUAUCGACAGCCACCACAGGGCGCACGCUGAGGUGGAGAAGACGAAGAUGACACUGUCGCCGGCGUUUGGGAAGCAGCCCUUCCCAGCAUCAGCUGUUCUCAAACCUGAGGGAGAAGCACGGCCCGGGGAGUCUCCGCUCCACACGACAGACUGACAGCAAGAUGCAAGGCUGUUACCAAAAUGCUGGGCCAAACCAGAUGGCAUCACUCCCUGACCUGGGCAGGUGCCCAACAUUCAAGGAAACACUGAAGACUUUCUCGAGUUGUGAUCUGUCAGAGGAAUUUUCCCUGUGACUUAGGAAAAUGUCCCCAUGACAUGCUGGUGCAGACUGACUCUCCCAGCUCCCCACACGCAGGUGGAAACCUCGCCACCACCGUGGGGCAGGGCUCAAGGCUUGCAUUCGCUCGCAGCUGCUUCCACGAACUGCAACACUUUACAUGAUUUCACGGAAAUAAAGGCGUCCAAGGCACUAUACAUAAUAAAUAGUUGGUGCAGCAAAUGACUGCUAUUCAGACUGAAAACAUGGACAAAAUACGCUCCAAGAUGGUGAGAAAAACCUUCCUUUAAAGUUUAGAAAAAAUGAACUUGACUUGGAGCUAAAAAGAUGCAAGGAUUCAGAUAAACAAGAAAGAGGAUGGGAAAAAGUAUUCUACAACAGUUCUCAAAGUGGGGUCCCUUAGGCCCCUUCUGGGAUCUACUAUUUUUAUGAUAACACCAAGACACGCUUUGCCUUUAUAACCAUUGUUAGGUUGAUUUUUCAAGGCUACCAGAGAUGUGGUAUCAAAACAGACUGAACGCAGGCGCAGACCUGAGAGGCCAGCUGUCUUUU